Chinchilla lanigera (long-tailed chinchilla) is the source of this 664-nucleotide long non-coding RNA. RefSeq lists it as uncharacterized. The transcript is spliced from 2 exons. Lineage: Eukaryota; Metazoa; Chordata; Mammalia; Rodentia; Chinchillidae. The record is from RefSeq and is a predicted model, not a curated record.
CCUGCCUCAGCCUCCUGAGUACUGGGAUUACAGGCUAAGAGGACAGCCAGUAUUUUGGCCCAGUUCUCCAAGGUCAACGAGGACCCAAGACAUGAGGGAACCUCUGCUGUGACAUCCUACAACUCUGGUAAAUCACCUGUUCUCCCAGCCAGGGAGGCUGAUGAACCACAGAGCACAGAAAUCAACAAUGUACAGUGUGGCCACGCAGAGUCACCAGAAGAGAUGGGGAUAUAGCUCAGCGGCACAAGCGCCUGCCUAGCAAGCACAAGGUCCUGCGUUCAACUCCUAGUACCCCAAAAUAAAGAAAAGGAAAAGGACAAUCACCAGGAGAAAAAAGUCUCCCAUGCUUUCAUAGAAAACAAUCAGCCUUGCAAAGGCUGUGACUCAUACUGAUGGCUGACACUGACGGAAAAACUGAGAGGCUCUAUACAUGGUUCAAAGGUAGAUCCUGAAGAGACUUAACUGACCUUGAUAGAUGUCUCACUUUAACUUGGUCCUGAACAUCCAGCAGAAAUGUAUAACCAAAAGAUAUAUAAAACAAUGUCAUAAUAAUAAGCUAGAUAUAGGAAGGGGCUCCAAUCACUAACCCAUUCUGGCAGUUUCCAACUAUACCAGUAACUAACCACUGUUACGUGUUACUAAUAAUAAAUUAAAAUAAAACCUG